CUCGGGUUNAAACNCCNAAAAGGCCGNAAAACGNCCNCCCCNGGNUAAACGGGGUNGANGNGCNAUUNNUGGCUAAAGCUUCNANNNGGUUGUAANUUNUGGAAUCGCGCUCACCUNGGGGUUAAGGAAUACGNCAAUUUGAACCGGAGAGUGAGGGNAUUNGGGUUAGGAGUGAAUCCNUAAUCUCGAGGACCCCUGUGGCGAAGGCGCUCACCAGAACGGNUUGACAGUGAGGNACGAAAGCGGGGGGACCAACCGGAUAAGAUACCCGGUUAGUCCCANCCGUAAACGAGGCGCGUAAGNUGUAUCGACGACCACGAGUCUUCGAGGUGCCGAAGGGAAACCGUGAAACGUGCCGCUUGGGAAGUACGUUCGCAAGGCUGAAACUUAAAGGAAUUGGCGGGGGAGCACCACAACAGGUGGAGCCUGCGGUUUAAUUGGACUCAACGCCGGAAAUCUCACCGGAUAAGACAGCGGAAUGAUUGCCGGGCUGAAGACUCUGCAUGACUAGCUGAGAGGAGGUGCAUGGCCGUCGUCAGUUCGUACUGUGAAGCAUCCUGUUAAGUCAGGCAACGAGCGAGACCCACGCCAACAGUUGCCAGCACGAUCCCCGGAUUGGUGGGGACACUGUUGGGACCGCCUCUGCUAAAGGGGAGGAAGGAAUGGGCAACGGUAGGUCAGCAUGCCCCGAAUUAUCCGGGCUACACGCGGGCUACAAUGGGCAGGACAAUGGGUAUCGACAUCGAAAGGUGAAGGCAAUCUCCUAAACCUGUCCGUAGUUCGGAUUGUGGGCUGUAACUCGCCCACAUGAAGCUGGAAUCUGUAGUAAUCGCGUUUCAAAAUAACGCGGUGAAUGUGUCCCUGCUCCUUGCACACACCGCCCGU
This 885-nucleotide ribosomal RNA is filed under the name Methanobacterium formicicum. RNAcentral describes it as "partial 16S ribosomal RNA". It matches the Rfam family "Archaeal small subunit ribosomal RNA". The record is from RNAcentral. Lineage: Archaea; Methanobacteriati; Methanobacteriota; Methanobacteria; Methanobacteriales; Methanobacteriaceae.